This 864-nucleotide ribosomal RNA is filed under the name uncultured bacterium. RNAcentral's name for it is "bacterial SSU rRNA". It matches the Rfam family "Bacterial small subunit ribosomal RNA", at positions 8 to 916 of the family's 1533-position model. The record is from RNAcentral.
AGAGUUUGAUCCUGGCUCAGAACGAACGCUGGCGGCAGGCCUAACACAUGCAAGUCGAACGCGUGUAGCAAUACACGAGUGGCGCACGGGUGAGUAACACGUGGGAAUCAACCCAGAGGUUCGGAAUAACCGCGGGAAACUGCGGCUAAUACCGGAUAUCCCCUACGGGGGAAAGAUUUAUCGCCUUUGGACGAGCCCGCGUCCGAUUAGCUAGUUGGUGAGGUAACGGCUCACCAAGGCUCCGAUCGGUAGCUGGUCUGAGAGGACGACCAGCCACACUGGAACUGAGAUACGGUCCAGACUCCUACGGGAGGCAGCAGUGGGGAAUAUUGGGCAAUGGAGGCAACUCUGACCCAGCCAUGCCGCGUGGGUGACGAAGGUCUUCGGAUUGUAAAGCCCUUUCGGCGGGGACGAUGAUGACGGUACCCGCAGAAGAAGCCCCGGCUAACUUCGUGCCAGCAGCCGCGGUAAUACGAAGGGGGCUAGCGUUGUUCGGAAUUACUGGGCGUAAAGGGCGUGUAGGCGGCCCGUUAAGACAGGUGUGAAAUUCCUGGGCUCAACCCAGGACGUGCGCCUGUGACUGGCGGGCUUGAGUCCGGGAGAGGAUGGUGGAACUCCCAGUGUAGAGGUGAAAUUCGUAGAUAUUGGGAAGAACACCCGUGGCGAAGGCGGCCAUCUGGACCGGUACUGACGCUAAGGCGCGACAGCGUGGGGAGCAAACAGGAUUAGAUACCCUGGUAGUCCACGCCGUAAACGAUGAGUGCUAGACGUUGGGAAGCCUAGCUUUUCAGUGUCGCAGCUAACGCAUUAAGCACUCCGGCCUGGGGAUACGGCCGCAAGGUUAAAACUCAAAGGAAUUGACGG